RNAcentral lists this ribosomal RNA (500 nucleotides) under uncultured bacterium. RNAcentral's name for it is "partial 16S ribosomal RNA". It matches the Rfam family "Bacterial small subunit ribosomal RNA", at positions 30 to 523 of the family's 1533-position model. The record is from RNAcentral.
AUUGAACGCUGGCGGCAGGCUUAACACAUGCAAGUCGAGCGGGGGAAGGUAGCUUGCUACCGGACCUAGCGGCGGACGGGUGAGUAAUGCUUAGGAAUCUGCCUAUUAGUGGGGGACAACAUCUCGAAAGGGAUGCUAAUACCGCAUACGUCCUACGGGAGAAAGCAGGGGAUCUUCGGACCUUGCGCUAAUAGAUGAGCCUAAGUCGGAUUAGCUAGUUGGUGGGUAAAGGCCUACCAAGGCGACGAUCUGUAGCGGGUCGGAGAGGAUGAUCCGCCAACCUGGGACUGGGACACGGCCCAGACUCCUACGGGAGGCAGCAGUGGGGAAUAUUGGACAAUGGGGGGAACCCUGAUCCAGCCAUGCCGCGUGUGUGAAGAAGGCCUUAUGGUUGUAAAGCACUUUAAGCGAGGAGGAGGCUACUCUAGUUAAUACCUAGGGAUAGUGGACGUUACUCGCAGAAUAAGCACCGGCUAACUCUGUGCCAGCCGCCGCGGUAA